ACUGAAUGUAUUGCUCCCAGUUUUGAUAAUUGGCCUGAGUUACUCCAAUCCAUUGCAAUGUUUGGUGUCUCAGCAAGGUAGAGAAUGGCAGGAGAAGAAAAGAUGAUCUCUAGUCUCCCUGUCUUGUUGACAUAAUGCACAUGUGUUGUCCACAUUGAGUUUCCACUGUUCCAAUCUAUCCUUAGUAGGCAGCCUAUCCUGUAAUAUCAGCCAAAGGUUGAAGACUGCCUUGGGUCUAGC
This 240-nucleotide long non-coding RNA is filed under the name Nicotiana benthamiana. RNAcentral describes it as "long non-coding RNA (NBEN_LNC015748)". Lineage: Eukaryota; Viridiplantae; Streptophyta; Magnoliopsida; Solanales; Solanaceae. The record is from RNAcentral.